RNAcentral lists this long non-coding RNA (708 nucleotides) under Ficedula albicollis (Collared flycatcher). Its description in RNAcentral is "lncRNA (ENSFALG00000027461.1)". The record is from RNAcentral. Lineage: Eukaryota; Metazoa; Chordata; Aves; Passeriformes; Muscicapidae.
CUUGGGGCCUAACUCUGGAUAAUAGCUUGAGUUCAGAUCAGCAUUUUCCACAGAUCUCAACUCCAGAUAUUGCCCCCGGGAAAACAAUUGCCCCAGCAUGCAAGCCUGAGAUUAUAGGGAUUUUCUAUCACGUGUGUUCUGUCUCACCGUUCCAACUCUUUUUUUAAAAUCCAUCCACACAAAAAAUUCACUUUUCCAGGUGGUGACAUUGGACUGUGAUAGACAUUCGAGGAAGUCAGAAGCAGCUGACAGCUCCUGGGUGGGGAAAGGAACACUUUCUGAGACCACAGAACACCCUGUAUUGGAAGGGACCCACAAGGAUUAUCAAGUCAAACUCCUGGCCCUGAAUAGGACCACCCCAAGGGGUCGCACCUGGGAGGCUUGUCCAAAAGCUUCUUGGAUUUUGGCAGGCUUGAGAUCAGUGCCUGCCCCUCUGCUUGCCUCGUGACAAAGCUGUAGACUCCUAGGAGGUUUCCUCUCAAUCUCCUCCAAGAUGAACAAUACCCACUAGCUUUGCCCUUGCAGGAGAGCUGUAGACUCCUAGGAGGUUUCCUCUCACUCUCCUCCAAGACGAACAAUACCCACUAGCUUUGCCCUUGCAGGAACUGAGUUUCUAAAGAGAGGGAAAUGAAUAAUUAAAAAGGCAGAAACUUGCUCUCCAAAACUGUAGGAAGUACAGAGGUGAAAUAUAUCCACUUCUGAGAUGCA